RNAcentral lists this ribosomal RNA (439 nucleotides) under uncultured bacterium. RNAcentral describes it as "partial 16S ribosomal RNA". It matches the Rfam family "Bacterial small subunit ribosomal RNA", at positions 338 to 795 of the family's 1533-position model. The record is from RNAcentral.
UCUACGGGUGGCAGCAGUGGGGAAUAUUGGACAAUGGGGGGAACCCUGAUCCAGCGACGCCGCGUGAGUGAAGAAGUAUUUCGGUAUGUAAAGCUCUAUCAGCAGGGAAGAAAAUGACGGUACCUGACUAAGAAGCCCCGGCUAACUACGUGCCAGCAGCCGCGGUAAUACGUAGGGGGCAAGCGUUAUCCGGAUUUACUGGGGGUAAAGGGAGCGUAGACGGUGCAGCAAGUCAGCGGUAAAAUUUCGGGGCUCAACCCCGAGGAGCCGUUGAAACUGGCUUGCUAGAGUGGGCGAGAAGUAUGCGGAAUGCGUGGUGUAGCGGUGAAAUGCAUAGAUAUCACGAAGAACUCCGAUUGCGAAGGCAGCAUACCGGCGCCCAACUGACGCUCAGGCACGAAAGCGUGGGUAUCGAACAGGAUUAGAUACCCUAGUAGUC